Molecule: long non-coding RNA, 1118 nt
Filed under: Cyanistes caeruleus (blue tit)
Lineage: Eukaryota; Metazoa; Chordata; Aves; Passeriformes; Paridae
Description: lncRNA (ENSCCEG00000005053.1)
Source: RNAcentral
CUCCUUGAUCUGUUUGUUUUGAUGUCUCUGACGUGUCCUCUGCUACACCUGACCUCAGGACUGAGUCUUACCCAGGUUUGCUGAAUGAAGGAAAGGGGAAACUACCCAAUUAUUGGGCAAUAUUUCACAAGUGACAUCUCAGUCAUCCACAGUGGAAGGGGAAGCUCAGUUCCCUCCUCUUUCAGCUGGAGACGAUGGGAGCAGGCAAACACUUCACUGCUUUGAAGUGCCAGCAGAAAGGCUUUCAGGAUCGUGGCCAACACCCUCUGCAAGUGUCUUUUGGAUCUCUCUCAGCUUGAGUAGAGACAUUUGAACAGGUAUCAGGUUGUGAGGGAGUUUAGCCAACUAAAAAGCUGAAGUGGAAAAAGAAGCUCAAGUGAACCCACCUAGGGAAAAGAGGCAGCUCUUGAAUGCAAAAGGCUUUAAACAGAAAACGGAAGGUACUGUUUUUAGAGGAAAGCAAACACAGGUCCUUGGGAAAGUAUUAAUUUAGCAGGGUUUUGAAAAAAUUUAUUUCUGUUUAUUCUCUUUGCUGAUGGGUAGUUAGGGAUGGGGAGAGAGUUCCAGGAAUUAAUUAAAACAAAAAUUGACAGUACUGGUACUUUCACUAAAUGUGUUUUAUGUAUACAUUACUUCCUAAGGCAGAAUCAAAAACUACAAAAAUGGUUCAAAUACUAGUAAAGGGCAUUAAAUUCACUAAAUCAUAACUCCCACUUCAGAGAAACAUCCCCAAAGGGGUGUAUAACCUUUUAUCUUCUUGUAAAAUUGCUAAGAAUCAAAAAGAGCUCUAGCUCUCACUUUAAAAAAUAAUGUGAUUUGAAAAAUAUGCACUGAUUAAAAAUUAACAUAUUCCCCAUGUACCUUUUCAUUUUAAUAUUAAGUUUGCAAAUACAGCCAAAGCAUAAAGUGGCAUCACCAGGGAUUGUUAAUGGCUCAUUGUUUCUUCUUCCAGGUCCUUGUGACUGAAAGUUGAUAUUUACAGAUACCUCUAAAAUGGGGAUACCUCUGGAUAAGUUAAUGGGAGCAUUACAAACCCAGCAGUUUCUGGUUUAUGCUCCUGAAGACUAGAGAAGCUGAAUUUUAAUAAAAUGCUUGGGAAAAAAAUAAAUUUGGUGUUC